This 410-nucleotide long non-coding RNA is filed under the name Dasypus novemcinctus (nine-banded armadillo). RNAcentral's name for it is "lncRNA (ENSDNOG00000052986.1)". Lineage: Eukaryota; Metazoa; Chordata; Mammalia; Cingulata; Dasypodidae. The record is from RNAcentral.
UGACGCCAAGAUGGCGGCCAGCAGCGCUUCUGGCUGCGCGCUGGGCCCUGUGGAGCAGCAGAGAGGCCGCAGCUCCCAGCCCCACCGUGGGGAGCAGCACGGACAGCCCUGGCGCCACCAUCGAAGGUCUCGGGAUAUCAUCAUCUCUGGGAACCUCCUGCCCUGUCAGAGAAACUUCACUAUAUACCAGGAUUUUUUUUAGUCCAACAAAUUUAUUCAACACCUGCCAUAUUGAUUCUAAGAUGUGCUCUUUUAUGUAUUUAUCAUCUCUGAAACCAAGGUGAGUCUUAAUGUUUUGUCCUUGUAGAAGUGGUAGCUCUUUUUGUUCAUUUUUUUCUUAGUGGUAGAAAAAUAAAGUUUCUUGAGAUCAGGAGCAUCUUAAAUUUGGUGAAGUAUGAUUUAUACCUGGU